AGUAAAAAAGUUACAGUAAGCUAAGGCUUAUGUAUUUAUUGAUUUAUUUUCUUUUGAGACGUAGUUUCACUCUUGUUGUCCAACUUUACAGUGUGUCAGAAAACACAUAAAAAUUUUUAACAAAAAAGUCAAAAUGUUUGUUUGAUAAAUGUAUUCAAAGACAGUUUUUGCUAAGGAUAUGUUAAAGCUGACAUUGAAGCCCUGUUAAUUGUGAAUUCCUAGGUCCUUUUCAUGGAGAAGAGGGCCACCAUCCUCCAGAUCCCAGAAUGG
RNAcentral lists this long non-coding RNA (270 nucleotides) under Homo sapiens (human). RNAcentral's name for it is "non-protein coding lnc-FOXQ1-17:1". Lineage: Eukaryota; Metazoa; Chordata; Mammalia; Primates; Hominidae. The record is from RNAcentral.